This 492-nucleotide ribosomal RNA is filed under the name uncultured bacterium. RNAcentral describes it as "partial 16S ribosomal RNA". It matches the Rfam family "Bacterial small subunit ribosomal RNA", at positions 29 to 507 of the family's 1533-position model. The record is from RNAcentral.
AGUGAACGCUGGCGGUAGGCCUAACACAUGCAAGUCGAACGGCAGCACAGUAAGAGCUUGCUCUUACGGGUGGCGAGUGGCGGACGGGUGAGGAAUACAUCGGAAUCUACUUUUUCGUGGGGGAUAACGUAGGGAAACUUACGCUAAUACCGCAUACGCUCUACGGGUGAAAGCAGGGGAUCUUCGGACCUUGCGCGAUUGAAUGAGCCGAUGUCGGAUUAGCUAGUUGGCGGGGUAAAGGCCCACCAAGGCGACGAUCCGUAGCUGGUCUGAGAGGAUGAUCAGCCACACUGGAACUGAGACACGGUCCAGACUCCUACGAGAGGCAGCAGUGGGGAAUAUUGGACAAUGGGCGCAAGCCUGAUCCAGCCAUACCGCGUGGGUGAAGAAGGCCUUCGGGUUGUAAAGCCCUUUUGUUGGGAAAGAAAAGCAGCAGGUUAAUACCCCGCUGUUCUGACGGUACCCAAAGAAUAAGCACCGGCUAACUUCGUG